RNAcentral lists this non-coding RNA (1434 nucleotides) under Cladonia strepsilis. RNAcentral describes it as "SSU rRNA". It matches the Rfam family "Bacterial small subunit ribosomal RNA". The record is from RNAcentral. Lineage: Eukaryota; Fungi; Ascomycota; Lecanoromycetes; Lecanorales; Cladoniaceae.
AAAUAAGUUGAGUUUGAUGAUGGCUCUGAGUGAACGCUGUCCAAAUGCUUGACACAUGCUAAUCGUACGACUUCGCUCAUAAAAAAAAAGAGCGAAGCAGUGGUGUACAGGUGAGUAUAAGAUAACGUGACUGCCUUGGAGUAAGGAGAAAGAUCCCUUAUAAUAAUAAAGAAACACAGGUUUCGCUCUUAGAAGCAUGUAUCUCGUGUAGUUGUAGUAGUUAAAGUAGUGGUUUAACUAGCCUUAUACACGUAGUCGAAACUGAAAGGUUGAUCGAUCACAGUGGGACUGAACAAAUCCCACGAUUAUUAUCACAGCAGUGAGGAAUAUUGGUCAAUAGCCUAACGGCUGAACCAGCAAUUUGGAAGAAUGUAUAGCAAUAGCUGAUUGCACCAACAAACAGUUGAUGCAAAAUUGAUUAUAUCAAAUAAAAUUCUAGGUAGAUUUUUGAUAAUGACAUUGCUUACCUAAGUCUUGACCAAAUUACGUGCCAGCAGUCGCGGUAAUACGUAAAAGACUAGUGUUAUUCAUCUUUAAUUGGUUUAAAGGGUACCUAGACAGCGAAUAAAGCCAUUGUAGGGACUAAUUCGCUAGAGUUACUUAUGAGGGGGUAUUAAAGUACUGCAGGUGUAGAGAUGAAAUUUUGUUAUACCUCUUUUCAUAUGAGAAAAUAUGGCACAGGUAUAGGUGAAAGCAUCCCCUUAUGUGAUAACUGACGUUGAGGGACGAAGGCUUUGUGUCGCGAACAGGAUUAGAUACCCCAGUAGUCAAAGCAGAAAAUGAUGAAUGUCAUAGAUUAGAUAUACAAUUUAUUCUAUAAAUGAAAGUGUAAGCAUUCCACCUCAAGAGUAAUUUGGCAACAUUGGAACUGAAAUCAUUAGACCGUUUCUGAAACCAGUAGUGAAGUAUGUUUAUUUACAAGCGUUGCACGGCUGUCUUCAGUUAAUGUCGUGAGAUUUUGGUUAGUUCCAUUAAAUUAACGUAAACCCUUAUUUUAUUUUUAUAUAAAGUAGUUCCCCGCUAUAUUGGAUAUGAUAACAGGGACUAAGACAAGUCAUCAUGGCCUAAAUAUUGUGGGCUAUAGACGUGCCACAUAAACCUCACAAAAGGAUGUGAAAUUGUGAAAUUGAGCUAAUCCUCCAAAAAUGGAUAAACAUUUAAUGGAUUGCAGUCUGUAACUCGACUGCGUGAAAAAGGAAUUACUAGUAAUCGUGUAUAAGUACGGCACGGUGAAUCUAAUCUCAGAUAGGUACUAACUACUCGUCAGGCGCUGAAAAAAGUAUGUGCAAUAAGUUUGGCUAGUGCUUAUUUAAAUUUUGGGCGAUCUUGUCCGAAAACUUAGGCAUGUUGUCUUCGUAUGCGUGACUUUGAUUAGUGUUAAGUCGAAAUACGGUUCGUGUAGUGGAAAUUGCACGGGAUUUAUGUAUAUUAAAA